This 2911-nucleotide long non-coding RNA is filed under the name Sus scrofa (pig). RNAcentral's name for it is "lncRNA (ENSSSCG00065075969.1)". The record is from RNAcentral. Lineage: Eukaryota; Metazoa; Chordata; Mammalia; Artiodactyla; Suidae.
UUUUUUUUUUUUUUUUUUUGGUGCUUUUGCCUUUUCUAGGGCCGCUCCCAUGGCACAUGGAGGUUCCCAGGCUAGGGGUCCAAUGGGAGCUGUAGCCUCAGGCCUACGCCAGAGCCACAGCCACAGCAACGUGGGAUCAGAGCCGUGUCUGCAGCCUACACCACAGCUCACGGCAACGCCGGAUCCUUAACCCACGGAGCGAGGCCAGGGAUCGAACCCGUAACCUCAUGGUUCCUAGUUGGAUUCCUUAACCACUGAGCCACGAUGGGAGCUCCCUAUUGUUGAGUAAUAUUCUUUUCUAGGAAAGUUAUUUUGACGGGGAGUGGGGAGCUAUGCAACAUUAUUCUAAAAUUCACCUGGUAGAACAGACAUAAAAGAACCAUAUAAGAACAUUUUUAAAGAGAAGAAACAUUAGUGGAGAGUAUUCCAAGCUAUUAUUAAGAUGCAACCAUUAACUAUGAUUAACCAGGCUAGAAGCAAAUGUAUGUAAAACAAAUGUGUGUGAAAGGGAUUUUUAAAUCACAGGGGAAGAACAGUUGCUUUGACAAAUGCUAUCUGAAAACUAGUUAAGAUUAACACAUAUAUAAUAAUAUACAUAUAUAAACUUAUCAACAGAAAAACUAUAAAAGUAAGAAACAUUUUCAUAAUGUUGAGGCAUCUGAGAACUAUGUGAAUAUUUAGCUAAUGGCAGAAUCCAGAUAGUAAUAGAGUAAGUACAACCACAUAAAAAUUAGAAAACUCUUUGGGAGGUCCCUUUGUGGCUCAGCAGUUAACAAACCCAACUAGGAUCCAUGAGGAUGCGGGUUCGAUCCCUGGCCUCGCUCCAUGGGUUAAGGAUCCAGCCUUUCUGUGAACUGUGGUGUGGGUCACAGACUUGGCUCAGAUCCUGUGUUGCUGUGGCUGUGGUACAGGACGGCAGCUGCAGCUCUGAUUCAACGCAUAGCCUGGGAACUUCCAUAUGCCACAGGUCCGGCCCUAAAAAAAAAAAAACAAAAAAAAAAAUAAAAAAAAAAAAAAUAAAAACUCUUUGACCCUCUGGAAAGGCCAAGGGCAGAUGACAAGAAGAACUAACAUAAUCCAUAUGUAACAAGCUCUUUAAAAUUAUUUCCCAUGCACGAAUUUCCAAGUUGAAAAUUGGUCCUCAUAUACAGAUUUAAAUACACAGCAGAAGAAAUGCAAAUGCGUUAAAUAAGAAGAAGAAAAGAUGUUCAGAUUCUCUGUUGAUGAAAUAACUUUUGCAGCGAGGAUAAGGCAUUCGGGUUUCCCUGUGAGAGUGACUCGGGGCUAUUACGGGACUUAGCAGGGGAUGGGGGGCAUCGCAGUGGCCAGCUUGGGCAAGAAUGGAAGCGGGAAGCUGCUUGGGGCUGGGGCUUCUUGACAUAAUCGUGUCCAGACAAAGAGAGUGGGAGAGGCGGCUGAGCCUGGGUGAUGGCAACUAGGACAGAUAAAAAUGGGGGGGUUCAGACCGUAUCCGGAGAGUGAGUCGGAGGAUUUUCCAUGAUGGGCCUUCGCCUAGGAGAAGGCCGUAACCCCGGCCUCAGUUUGUCUAACAAAGGAGGCUCUGGUGGUCUCUGCACUGCCUAGCCUGAGGCCAGGGACCUUGUCCUCCGGGGUGUCCCCCUCCCUGGACAGCUGCCCUGACUGGCAGAGAGGACCCUGGUCUGUGAAUACCGACUGGAGGAGCUAUUCUGAUCGCCCUAAAACAUUCAGAUCUAAAGUGGGGAAAUCUGCAGGACAUUUGACCAGACUUAUUCCACAAUAAAGUGUCCACACAUCAGAAAAUGUAAUGUCCCUUGAUUUAUCUUCCUCCAUAGGGAGCCCUUGUGGAGGCGCCAGGCACGGCUCAAUACUGUAUAAAAAAAUAAGCACACAGUGAACGUCCCUGCCUUCCAGAACCUUCUGGACAAGAGAAGCAUGCCCUUGAGAUCUGUAACAAAAUUGUGCAGGGGAGGAAGUGCCCAACGGCCUGGGGGCAUCUAGGCGGGCUCCUGAGGGUGUGGCAGAGGAGUCGUCAGUGGGACCUUCGAGAAGUUACCCCCCUGGACUGUGGACGCUGUGCGGAACCCCUCACUUUAUCCUCACAACCAGAGGGCAGACAUGCCCUCAUGAGCACGAUUCAGAUGAGAUGAAGCCUCAGGAAUGUCCAAGCUCCCAAGAGUGAGUUUUAGAGCUGGAGGUCACUCCCAGGCCUACCCUGGAGCCCGCUCUCUUAGCCACGCAUCUACACCAGGUUUCACCCUUGAAAUGGAUGAGAGUUCUCAAGAUGGACCAGAGGGGAGUGUUCCAGACCAAAGGGCCACGGUGGAGGACCCAGGUGAGCCACGAGCUCUGUGCAUGGGAGCAGGUGAGAAGUAUGGCUGGGCAAGGAGAAGACCAGUGCUGAUGGCUCUGGAGACAUUUUGGGGUGUGGCCUCCUGCACAGAGACCUGGGAAUGCUGCUGGCCCGAGUUGGGGAGGUCAUCCAUGGACUCAGCUCUCAUGGGACAUGGCCUUGGUGGCAAGGACGAGUUCAGACUGGAGGAGAGGGCAUGCUAAUGGGGCUGGGGGUGGGAUGGUCCAGAGCCUGCAGAGGACCUGGCCAGGCAGGAACCCAGGGGACUCCACAGCCCCUGGUGGUGGUGGUGGGGGUUCCUGCACCUGUGUGGUGUCCAGGCCUCAAAACAUGGAGAAAAGGGAUAAAAGACAGGACAGACCACACCUUCCACCCUUGAGCUGAAGCAGGGAGAGAAGGCAGGUGGGAGGGGAGGAAGGAAACUUCCCGAAUGUGGCCAACAUUUGCUUAAUCCUCUAUGGAGGAAAAAAAAAGCCAGACCAAUUGAGCGUAUAAUAUUGACGCUCGUCCCUUGGGCAAAAGUCACACCUAAGCCCAUAUGUUUUAACAAAUUAAGAGGUAAAUAAUUUACUGAAGGUA